This 463-nucleotide ribosomal RNA is filed under the name uncultured bacterium. RNAcentral's name for it is "partial 16S ribosomal RNA". It matches the Rfam family "Bacterial small subunit ribosomal RNA", at positions 339 to 795 of the family's 1533-position model. The record is from RNAcentral.
CUACGGGUUGCUGCAGUAAGGAAUAUUGCGCAAUGGACGAAAGUCUGACGCAGCGACGCCGCGUGGAUGAUGAAGCAUUUCGGUGUGUAAAAUCCUUUCAGCAGUGAAGAAACGUAAGAAUAGUAACUGAUUCUUACCUGACGGUACCUGCAGAAGAAGUCCCGGCUAAGUCCGUGCCAGCAGCCGCGGUAAUACGGGGGGACAAACGUUGUUCGGAUUUACUGGGCGUAAAGGGCGUGUAGGCGGACCUUUAAGUCGGAUGUGAAAAUCCGGGGCUUAACCUCGGACCUGCAUUCGAUACUAUUGGUCUUGAGUAUGUGAGAGGAAAGCGGAAUUCCAGGUGUAGCGGUGGAAUGCGUAGAUAUCUGGAAGAACACCAGUAGCGAAGGCGGCUUUCUGGCACAAUACUGACGCUGAGGCGCGAAGGCUAGGGGAGCAAACAGGAUUAGAUACCCGCGUAGUC